CCCUCCCUGCGCUUCCCUAGUUGAGCGUGGGUUUUGCGGGUCUGUCUCAGAGCACCAGCCUGGUGGUUCCCUCCACGGAAUGUUGGAUUUGUACAUGGAAAGACCAAAACCGGGUGUGCAGCGGGGCCCAGCGCCUGGUUGGCCUGCGGAAAGCACCUCUCUCCAACAAGCUACCUGGCAUGGAGACUAACUGGCACUUACCCCUACAUGGAUAGGAAAUUAAUUUUGAUUAAAAGCUCAUGGAGGUCAGGUUCUGUACAAUGCCAGCAGCAGAUGGAGGCGUAAUGAUCCAAGGGAGUUCAGUUUGGUUGAAGUAGCAUAGUGAUUCUUUUCCCUACAUCGACUUUCGAAGAAGUUGUUUGGUUUUGGCAAAAUGACACUGGAC
Molecule: long non-coding RNA, 385 nt
Filed under: Marmota monax (woodchuck)
Lineage: Eukaryota; Metazoa; Chordata; Mammalia; Rodentia; Sciuridae
Source: RNAcentral